AAGGAAGCCAGAGUGGAAGCUGUCGGAAGAAUGGGUUUGAGUGAACUUUGGCUGCUCAAUCAAGCAGGCUGAUUACUGAGGAAACAUCAAAAGCUCCACCCGAAUGACUCAUCACCCAGAUCCAACAGAGAUUCCGCUCUUAAAAUUCACUGCAUGGUCUCUACCGACAAGAAGCAAAGGUUCUGUACGGCUACAGCAUUUCAGUUAAAAGACAAGGAAUCCACAUUUUCUUUCAUUUUGCUCUUAGACAGCCAGAAGAGAAUUUGGGGCUGGUAAAAAAAUCAAUAAAACACACUGCCUUAAGGAUUUUCAAGCUUGAAGAUGGGAGAGUGUAAAGAAGCAAUCAUGUAAACAAUAAAUGACAAUACAAAGAAGAAUGAGAAGUAAUGAUCGAAAGGCCCCUCAGUGAGUUGCUGAGCCCAGGCACGAGUGAAGAAACAGGAGUGCUACCAGACUGGCAGCAGAGCAAAGACCAUGCACAUAGGGAGAUUCUCAGAUACUCUCAUCUUAUGUGGGGUGCUAAAGAGGA
Molecule: long non-coding RNA, 529 nt
Organism: Suricata suricatta (meerkat)
Lineage: Eukaryota; Metazoa; Chordata; Mammalia; Carnivora; Herpestidae
Exons: 4
Source: RefSeq, a predicted model, not a curated record